Molecule: ribosomal RNA, 498 nt
Filed under: uncultured bacterium
Lineage: Bacteria
Description: partial 16S ribosomal RNA
Rfam family: Bacterial small subunit ribosomal RNA
Source: RNAcentral
GACGAACGCUGGCGGCGUGCCUAAUACAUGCAAGUCGAACGAGAGCGACCGGUGCUUGCACUGGUCAAUCUAGUGGCGAACGGGUGAGUAACACGUGGGUAACCUGCUCAUCAGAGGGGGAUAACAUCCGGAAACGGAUGCUAAAACCGCAUAGGUCUUCGAGCCGCAUGGCUUGAAGAGGAAAAGAGGCGCAAGCUUCUGCUGAUGGAUGGACCCGCGGUGCAUUAGCUAGUUGGUGAGGUAACGGCUCACCAAGGCCGUGAUGCAUAGCCGACCUGAGAGGGUGAUCGGCCACAUUGGGACUGAGACACGGCCCAAACUCCUACGGGAGGCAGCAGUAGGGAAUCUUCCGCAAUGGACGCAAGUCUGACGGAGCAACGCCGCGUGAGUGAAGAAGGUUUUCGGAUCGUAAAACUCCGUUGUUAGAGAAGAACAAGUGCUAGAGUAACUGUUAGCGCCUUGACGGUAUCUAACCAGAAAGCCACGGCUAACUACGUG